Molecule: non-coding RNA, 74 nt
Organism: Nicotiana sylvestris (wood tobacco)
Lineage: Eukaryota; Viridiplantae; Streptophyta; Magnoliopsida; Solanales; Solanaceae
Source: Rfam
GGGCUUAUAGUUUAAUUGGUUGAAAUGUACCACUCAUAACGAUGAUAUUGUAGGUUCGAGCCCUACUAAGCCUA